This 492-nucleotide ribosomal RNA is filed under the name uncultured bacterium. RNAcentral describes it as "partial 16S ribosomal RNA". It matches the Rfam family "Bacterial small subunit ribosomal RNA", at positions 29 to 507 of the family's 1533-position model. The record is from RNAcentral.
AGUGAACGCUGGCGGUAGGCCUAACACAUGCAAGUCGAACGGCAGCACAGUAAGAGCUUGCUCUUACGGGUGGCGAGUGGCGGACGGGUGAGGAAUACAUCGGAAUCUACUUUUUCGUGGGGGAUAACGUAGGGAAACUUACGCUAAUACCGCAUACGACCUACGGGUGAAAGCAGGGGAUCUUCGGACCUUGCGCGAUUGAAUGAGCCGAUGUCGGAUUAGCUAGUUGGCGGGGUAAAGGCCCACCAAGGCGACGAUCCGUAGCUGGUCUGAGAGGAUGAUAGGCCACACUGGAACUGAGACACGGUCCAGACUCCUACGGGAGGCAGCAGUGGGGAAUAUUGGACAAUGGGCGCAAGCCUGAUCCAGCCAUACCGCGUGGGUGAAGAAGGCCUUCGGGUUGUAAAGCCCUUUUGUUGGGAAAGAAAGGCAGCAGGUUAAUACCCCGCUGUUCUGACGGUACCCAAAGAAUAAGCACCGGCUAACUUCGUG